GAUGAACGCUAGCGGCAGGCCUAACACAUGCAAGUCGAGGGGUAGCAGGAUUAGCUUGCUUAAUUGCUGACGACCGGCGCACGGGUUCGUAACGCGUAUGCAACCUACCUUAUACUGGGGUAUAGCUCGGAGAAAUUCGGAUUAAUCCACCAUAGUACUAAUGAAUCGCAUGGUUUAUUAGUUACAGCAUCGCGGUACAAGAUGGGCAUGCGUCCUAUUAGCUUGAUGGUGAGGUAACGGCUCACCAUGGCUACGAUAGGUAGGGGGCCUGAGAGGGUGGUCCCCCACACUGGUACUGAGACACGGACCAGACUCCUACGGGAGGCAGCAGUGAGGAAUAUUGGUCAAUGGGCGCAAGCCUGAACCAGCCAUGCCGCGUGCAGGAAGAAUGCCCUAUGGGUUGUAAACUGCUUUUAUUUGGGAAUAAACCUCUUUACGUGUAGAGAGCUGAAGGUACCAAAUGAAUAAGCACCGGCUAACUCCGUGCCAGCCGCCGCCGAA
RNAcentral lists this ribosomal RNA (501 nucleotides) under uncultured bacterium. Its description in RNAcentral is "partial 16S ribosomal RNA". It matches the Rfam family "Bacterial small subunit ribosomal RNA", at positions 28 to 522 of the family's 1533-position model. The record is from RNAcentral.